Molecule: non-coding RNA, 73 nt
Organism: Lacerta agilis (Sand lizard)
Lineage: Eukaryota; Metazoa; Chordata; Lepidosauria; Squamata; Lacertidae
Source: the annotation of a RefSeq genome assembly
GCCUAGGUGACUCAGGCGGUACAGCAUGAGACUUUUAAUCUCAGGGUCAUGGGUUCGAGUCCCACCUUGGUCA